This 255-nucleotide ribosomal RNA is filed under the name uncultured bacterium. Its description in RNAcentral is "partial 16S ribosomal RNA". It matches the Rfam family "Bacterial small subunit ribosomal RNA", at positions 99 to 354 of the family's 1533-position model. The record is from RNAcentral.
CGGACGGGUGAGUAACGCGCGGGGAACCUGCCCUGUACAGGGGGAUAACACUUAGAAAUAGGUGCUAAUACCGCAUAAGCGCACAGUAUCGCAUGAUACAGUGUGAAAAACUCCGGUGGUACAGGAUGGACCCGCGUCUGAUUAGCUGGUUGGCGGGGUAACGGCCCACCAAGGCGACGAUCAGUAGCCGGCCUGAGAGGGUGAACGGCCACAUUGGGACUGAGACACGGCCCAAACUCCUACGGGAGGCAGCAG